Molecule: ribosomal RNA, 466 nt
Filed under: uncultured bacterium
Lineage: Bacteria
Description: bacterial SSU rRNA
Rfam family: Bacterial small subunit ribosomal RNA
Source: RNAcentral
UGCCAGACUCCUACGGGAGGCAGCAGUGAGGAAUAUUGGUCAAUGGCCGAGAGGCUGAACCAGCCAAGUCGCGUGAGGGAAGAAUGUCCUAUGGAUUGUAAACCUCUUUUGUCAGGGAGCAAAGUCACCCACGUGUGGGUGUUGGAGAGUGCCUGAAGAAAAAGCAUCGGCUAACUCCGUGCCAGCAGCCGCGGUAAUACGGAGGAUCCGAGCGUUAUCCGGAUUCAUUGGGUUUAAAGGGUGCGUAGGUUGUUUUAUAAGUUAGCGGUGAAAUACCGAUGCUCAACAUCGGGGCUGCCGCUAAUACUGUAGGACUAGAGAUCGGAUGCAGCAGGCGGAAUGUGUAGUGUAGCGGUGAAAUGCAUAGAUAUUACACAGAACACCGAUUGCGAAGGCAGCUUGCUAGGCCGGAUCUGACACUGAUGCACGAAAGCGUGGGGAUCGAACAGGAUUAGAUACCCGGGUA